This 2457-nucleotide ribosomal RNA is filed under the name Triticum aestivum (bread wheat). RNAcentral describes it as "partial small subunit ribosomal RNA". Lineage: Eukaryota; Viridiplantae; Streptophyta; Magnoliopsida; Poales; Poaceae. The record is from RNAcentral.
AUGGGCCCUGCCGUUCUCUUCUUCCUCGUACUUGCAGCUGCAUCACUGUUGCCCUCCACGGCGCAACCCUGGCGCUAUCCACACUAUCCAAAUAAUACUACCAACCUUUCGACGGUGUGGACAAACAACGGCAAAUUCAGCUUCUACAAUAGCUCAGCCGUGCGCCCGAUUCUCCAAGGUUUAUCACCCGAACAAGAUCCAGAGCUUCCUGGUUUUGCCUUUGUAGCAGGGUUCAUAUGUGCCUUGACGCCUACAUGUGACAUGUCCCUCUUCGCUAUCUUUAUUGUACAUGUCUAUGCUGGCAUAUUGGAGCGGUUUUAUCCAGUGCAGGUGGUCUGGUGUGCCAAUCGGGCUAGCCCUGUUGGGGAGAAUGCCACCCUCGAGCUUACCACGGAUGGAAACCUGGUCCUCCGUGAUGCUGAUGGUAGCCACGUCUGGUCAAGUAACACCUCUGGCCAAUCUGUAGCUGGCAUGCUGAUCACGAAGAUCGGCAAUUUGGUAUUGUUUGACCACAAGAAUGCAACUGUGUGGCAGUCAUUUGAUCAUCCCACUGACACAUUGGUCCUCGGUCAGUCACUUCAGGAAGGUACGAGACUCAUAGCAAGUACUUCUGCAACAAAUAUGACCCAAAAUCAGUUGUAUAUCACUGUACUCCCACAUGGGUUAUGUGCUUAUGCUGAAUCUGCACCACCACAACCCUACUACUGUUCGCCCUCGGUUCCCAACAACAAGAAAGGAAAUGUUACAUUUGUGAAUGGAAGCCUUGUGCGGUCAGAUUUUUCUGAUAUCUCACAGCUGCGACCAGCUAAAUCCACCCAAUACAUGAGAUUAGAUUCAGAUGGACACAUGAGGUUGUAUGAGUAUGAAUGGUCUAUGGAAAAAUGGACUGUGGAGUAUGAUAUACUGCAAAUAGAUGACUGUGCUUACCCAACAGUCUGCGGAGAGUACGGUAUAUGCACCCAGGGACAAUGUGCUUGUCCACUUCAGAACUAUUCUUGUUCAAGCUACUUCAAGCCGGUGGAUGAGCGGAAGCCAAAUCUUGGUUGCACGCCAAUAACUCCAAUCUCUUGUCAAGAAAUUCAACACCAUUCGCUCUUGACACUCACUGAUAUUUCUUACUUUGAUAAAAGCCAUGACAUUGUAAAUUUGAGCGAAGAGGACUGCAAGCAAGCUUGCUUGAAGAACUGCUCAUGCAGGGCCGUUAUGUACAGCUAUGACCGGUUGGGUCCUGGUAGAUGUACCUGGAUGACAAAGGUCUUCUCCUUGCAAGCAAUACAACCUGUAGGAAACUUAAGUUCCUCUACUUACCUCAAGGUGCAACUUAACCCCUCCAUUUCUGCAUCUUCUUCAAACAAAAAAAAGGUGAUGGUAGGUGCUACACUUGGAGCUAUUACUGCUCUUGCAUUACUUGUCAUUGUUGUCAUUUUUUAUCUACAAAGGAGGAACAAGUAUGAAGACAAAGAUGAGGAAUUUGAUUUCAAUCGAUUGCCUGGAAAGCUGACGAGAUUUUCUCUAGAGACAUUGAGGGCAUGCACAGAAGGGUUCAAUAAGAAGCUCGGAGAAGGUGGGUUUGGGUCAGUUUUUGAAGGGAAAUUAGAUGAACAAAGAGUUGCAGUGAAACGUUUGGAAGGCGCUAGACAAGGAAAGAAAGAAUUCCUAGCAGAGGUCGAGACUAUCGGCAGCAUUGAACACAUCAAUCUUGUUAGCCUGGUUGGGUUUUGUGCAGAGAAGUUAGAGAGGCUUCUAGUAUAUGAAUAUAUGUCAAGAGGGUCACUUGAUAGGUGGAUCUAUUACCGCCAUAACAAUCCAUCUCUUGAUUGGUGCACCCGGUGUAGGAUAAUUCUGGAUAUUGCCAAGGGUCUGUGCUAUCUUCAUGAGGAAUGCAAGCGAAAGAUUGUUCAUUUGGACAUCAAGCCACAAAAUAUUCUUUUGGAUGACAAUUUCAAUGCCAAAGUGGCUGAUUUUGGCCUAUGUAAGUUAAUAAAUAGGGACCAAAGCAAGGUAGUUACUGUGAUGAGAGGAACACCUGGAUAUCUUGCCCCUGAAUGGUUGACAUCACAGAUCACUGAAAAAGUUGAUGUCUACAGCUUUGGAGUUGUUGUCAUGGAAAUAGUAAGUGGAAGAAAAAAUAUUGACCAUUCUCGGCCCGAGGAGGAAGUUCAGCUUAUAAAUGUACGGCGGGAAAAAGCUCAAAACGACCAAUUGGUUGAUCUCAUUGACAAGCAUAGUGAUGAUAUGGUUUCACAUCAGAAAGAAGUGAUUCAAAUGAUGAAGCUUGCAAUAUGGUGCCUGCAAAAUGACAGCAUUCAAAGGCCUUCAAUGUCAGUAGUGAUCAAGGUAUUGGAAGGUUCUAUGAGUGUAGAAACUAUCGAUGCAAAUUCAGUCAUGCCUGUUCAACAUUAUGCAUCAACAUGUUCGGUUCCACCACAAGCAUCUGUAUUAUCUGGCCCAAGGUGA